CCUACGGGAGGCUGCAGUGAGGAAUAUUGGUCAAUGGACGAGAGUCUGAACCAGCCAAGUAGCGUGAAGGAUGACUGCCCUAUGGGUUGUAAACUUCUUUUAUAAAGGAAUAAAACGAGGCACGUGUGCCUUUUUGCAUGUACUUUAUGAAUAAGGAUCGGCUAACUCCGUGCCAGCAGCCGCGGUAAUACGGAGGAUCCGAGCGUUAUCCGGAUUUAUUGGGUUUAAAGGGAGCGUAGAUGGGUUGUUAAGUCAGUUGUGAAAGUUUGCGGCUCAACCGUAAAAUUGCAAUUGAUACUGGCAGUCGUGAGUACAGUUGAGGUAGGCGGAAUUCGUGGUGUAGCGGUGAAAUGCUUAGAUAUCACGAAGAACCCCGAUUGCGAAGGCAGCUUACUAAACUGUGACUGACAUUGAUGCUCGAAAGUGUGGGUAUCAAACAGGAUUAGAUACCCCUGAGUC
RNAcentral lists this ribosomal RNA (459 nucleotides) under uncultured bacterium. RNAcentral describes it as "partial 16S ribosomal RNA". It matches the Rfam family "Bacterial small subunit ribosomal RNA", at positions 338 to 795 of the family's 1533-position model. The record is from RNAcentral.